AGUGAACGCUGGCGGUAGGCCUAACACAUGCAAGUCGAACGGCAGCACAGUAAGAGCUUGCUCUUACGGGUGGCGAGUGGCGGACGGGUGCGGAAUACAUCGGAAUCUACUUUUUCGUGGGGGAUAACGUAGGGAAACUUACGCUAAUACCGCAUACGACCUACGGGUGAAAGCAGGGGAUCUUCGGACCUUGCGCGAUUGAAUGAGCCGAUGUCGGAUUAGCUAGUUGGCGGGGUAAAGGCCCACCAAGGCGACGAUCCGUAGCUGGUCUGAGAGGAGGAUCAGCGACACGGGAACUGAGACACGGUCCAGACUCCUACGGGAGGCAGCAGUGGGGAAUAUUGGACAAUGGGCGCAAGCCUGAUCCAGCCAUACCGCGUGGGUGAAGAAGGCCUUCGGGUUGGAAAGCCCUUUUGUUGGGAAAGAAAAGCAGCAGGUUAAUACCCCGCUGUUCUGACGGUACCCAAAGAAUAAGCACCGGCUAACUUCGUG
This 492-nucleotide ribosomal RNA is filed under the name uncultured bacterium. RNAcentral describes it as "partial 16S ribosomal RNA". It matches the Rfam family "Bacterial small subunit ribosomal RNA", at positions 29 to 507 of the family's 1533-position model. The record is from RNAcentral.